Molecule: ribosomal RNA, 470 nt
Filed under: Flavobacterium sp. 01WB04.4-96
Lineage: Bacteria; Pseudomonadati; Bacteroidota; Flavobacteriia; Flavobacteriales; Flavobacteriaceae
Description: bacterial SSU rRNA
Rfam family: Bacterial small subunit ribosomal RNA
Source: RNAcentral
UGAGCUUGAUCCUGGCUCAGGAUGAACGCUAGCGGCAGGCUUAACACAUGCAAGUCGAGGGGUAUUUAUCUUCGGAUAGAGAGACCGGCGCACGGGUGCGUAACGCGUAUGCAAUCUACCUUUUACAGAGGGAUAGCCCAGAGAAAUUUGGAUUAAUACCUCAUAGUAUAAUGACUCGGCAUCGAGAUAUUAUUAAAGUCACAACGGUAAAAGAUGAGCAUGCGUCCCAUUAGCUAGUUGGUAAGGUAACGGCUUACCAAGGCUACGAUGGGUAGGGGUCCUGAGAGGGAGAUCCCCCACACUGGUACUGAGACACGGACCAGACUCCUACGGGAGGCAGCAGUGAGGAAUAUUGGACAAUGGGCGCAAGCCUGAUCCAGCCAUGCCGCGUGCAGGAUGACGGUCCUAUGGAUUGUAAACUGCUUUUAUACGAGAAGAAACACUGCUUCGUGAAGCAGCUGACGGUAUCG